GGAAGCGUGGCCGAGUGGUUUAAGGCAGCGGUCUUGAAAACCGCCGUGGCAGCGAUGCCACCGUGAGUUCGAAUCUCACCGCUUCCGCCA
This 90-nucleotide transfer RNA is filed under the name Thermomonas haemolytica. RNAcentral describes it as "tRNA-Ser". It matches the Rfam family "tRNA". From Rfam's summary of the family: Transfer RNA (tRNA) molecules are approximately 80 nucleotides in length. Their secondary structure includes four short double-helical elements and three loops (D, anti-codon, and T loops). Lineage: Bacteria; Pseudomonadati; Pseudomonadota; Gammaproteobacteria; Lysobacterales; Lysobacteraceae. RNAcentral also lists the same sequence under 3 other names. The record is from RNAcentral.